Molecule: ribosomal RNA, 468 nt
Filed under: uncultured bacterium
Lineage: Bacteria
Description: partial 16S ribosomal RNA
Rfam family: Bacterial small subunit ribosomal RNA
Source: RNAcentral
GACGAACGCUGGCGGCGUGCUUAACACAUGCAAGUCGAACGGACAGGCCCUGCUUUUGUGGGGUGCUCGAGUGGCGAACGGGUGAGUAACACGUGAGUAGCCUGCCCUUGACUUUGGGAGAACUUCAGGAGACUGGGGCUAAUACCGGAGAGGAGCUCCUGCUGCAUGGUGGGGGUUGGAAAGUUUCGGCGGUUGGGGCUGGACUCGCGGCUUAUGAGCUUGUUGGUGGGGUAGUGGCUUACAAAGGCUUUGACGGGUAGCCGGCCUGAGAGGGUGACCGGCCACCUGGGGACUGCGAUACGGACCAGACUCCUACGGUAGGCAGCGGUGGGGAAUAUUGCACAAUGGGCCGAAGCCUGAUGCAGCAUCGCCGCGUGCGUGAUGACGGCCUUCGGGUUGUAAACCGCUUUCGCCUUUGACGAAGCGUGAUUGACGGUAAUGGGUAAAGAAGCACCGGCUAACUACGUG